This 197-nucleotide transfer RNA is filed under the name Cuban sugarcane yellow leaf phytoplasma. RNAcentral describes it as "16S-23S intergenic spacer region". The stretch from base 69 to 145 matches the Rfam family "tRNA". The record is from RNAcentral. Lineage: Bacteria; Bacillati; Mycoplasmatota; Mollicutes; Acholeplasmatales; Acholeplasmataceae.
CGCAGGGCGCAGCAGUGGAAAAAUUUUUUUUUACUGUUGUGGUGUGUGGAGCCUUUUUUAAGGUUUAGGGCCCUAUAGCUUCAGUUGGUUAAAGCUACACGCCUGAUAAGCGUGUGGUCGGGUGGUGCAAGUCCAUUUAGGCCCACCAAAAUAGGUCACAUCUUAAAAAAGCUCUUUGAAAAGUAGAUAAACUAAGG